GUGAGUUCAGCUGAAGCUUUCAGCUCUGGCUUUACACGCGACGGGUCGGGGGUUCGAAUCCCUCACCGCCCACCA
RNAcentral lists this transfer RNA (75 nucleotides) under Deinococcus budaensis. Its description in RNAcentral is "tRNA-Val". The record is from RNAcentral. Lineage: Bacteria; Thermotogati; Deinococcota; Deinococci; Deinococcales; Deinococcaceae.